Molecule: ribosomal RNA, 439 nt
Filed under: uncultured bacterium
Lineage: Bacteria
Description: partial 16S ribosomal RNA
Rfam family: Bacterial small subunit ribosomal RNA
Source: RNAcentral
CUACGGGAGGCUCCAGUGAGGAAUAUUGCACAAUGGGGGGAACCCUGAUGCAGCAACGCCGCGUGGAGGAUGACGCAUUUCGGUGUGUAAACUCCUUUUAUAUGUCAAGAAAAUAACGGUAGCAUAUGAAUAAGCACCGGCUAACUCCGUGCCAGCAGCCGCGGUAAUACGGAGGGUGCAAGCGUUACUCGGAAUCACUGGGCGUAAAGGACGUGUAGGCGGGUUGGAAAGUCAGGUGUGAAAUCCUACAGCUUAACUGUAGAACUGCACUUGAAACUUCUAAUCUAGAGUAUGGGAGGGGGAGAUGGAAUUAGUGGUGUAGGGGUAAAAUCCGUAGAUAUCACUAGGAAUACCUAAAGCGAAGGCGAUCUCCUGGAACAUUACUGACGCUAAGGCGUGAAAGCGUGGGGAGCAAACAGGAUUAGAUACCCCAGUAGUC